Molecule: ribosomal RNA, 257 nt
Filed under: uncultured bacterium
Lineage: Bacteria
Description: partial 16S ribosomal RNA
Rfam family: Bacterial small subunit ribosomal RNA
Source: RNAcentral
CGUAGGGUGCGAGCGUUAUCCGGAAUUAUUGGGCGUAAAGAGCUCGUAGGCGGUUUGUCGCGUCUGUCGUGAAAGUCCGGGGCUUAACCCCGGAUCUGCGGUGGGUACGGGCAGACUAGAGUGCAGUAGGGGAGACUGGAAUUCCUGGUGUAGCGGUGGAAUGCGCAGAUAUCAGGAGGAACACCGAUGGCGAAGGCAGGUCUCUGGGCUGUAACUGACGCUGAGGAGCGAAAGCAGUGGGGGGAGCGAACAGGAUU